RNAcentral lists this ribosomal RNA (252 nucleotides) under uncultured bacterium. RNAcentral describes it as "partial 16S ribosomal RNA". It matches the Rfam family "Bacterial small subunit ribosomal RNA", at positions 524 to 776 of the family's 1533-position model. The record is from RNAcentral.
GACAGAGGAGCCAAGCGUUGUCCGGACUGACUGGGCGUAAAGCGCACGCAGGCGGUGCGGCAAGUGCGGGGUGAAAGCGGCCGGCUCAACCGGCCGAGGCCCGGCAGACUGCCGCGCUGGAGCCAUGCAGAGGGUGGUGGAAUUGCCGGUGUAGUGGUGAAAUGCGUAGAGAUCGGCAGGAACACCGAGGGGGAAGCCAGCCACCUGGGCAUGCGCUGACGCUGAGGUGCGACAGCGUGGGCAGCGAACUGG